This 484-nucleotide ribosomal RNA is filed under the name uncultured bacterium. RNAcentral describes it as "partial 16S ribosomal RNA". It matches the Rfam family "Bacterial small subunit ribosomal RNA", at positions 30 to 507 of the family's 1533-position model. The record is from RNAcentral.
AUUGAACGCUGGCGGCAGGCCUAACACAUGCAAGUCGAGCGGAUGAAGGGAGCUUGCUCCUGGAUUCAGCGGCGGACGGGUGAGUAAUGCCUAGGAAUCUGCCUGGUAGUGGGGGAUAACGUCCGGAAACGGGCGCUAAUACCGUAUACGUCCUGAGGGAGAAAGUGGGGGAUCUUCGGACCUCACGCUAUCAGAUGAGCCUAGGUCGGAUUAGCUAGUUGGUGGGGUAAAGGCCUACCAAGGCGACGAUCCGUAACUGGUCUGAGAGGAUGAUCAGUCACACUGGAACUGAGACACGGUCCAGACUCCUACGGGAGGCAGCAGUGGGGAAUAUUGGACAAUGGGCGAAAGCCUGCUCCAGCCAUGCCGCGUGUGUGAAGAAGGUCUUCGGAUUGUAAAGCACUUUAAGUUGGGAGGAAGGGCAGUAAGUUAAUGCCUUGCUGUUUUGACGUUACCAACAGAAUAAGCACCGGCUAACUUCGUG